ACUUCUGAUGUAAAAACCAGUCUCUAUCAACCCCUCAGAUACUAUAGUCUUACUUCUGAUGUAAAAACCAGUCUCUAUCAACCCUCAGAUACUAUAGUCUUACUUCUGAUCUAUCAUGUCUCUAGGAUAGCAAUGUUCCAAGUUUAACCCAGAAUCCAACACUAGGUUUAAUCUGUAUCCAGGAAACCGGCCCGUAGUGUGAAGUUUAUAGUGCAUCUGAAGAUGGAUCCCAGAGGGUUUCUACAGUACACAUUAGAAAUGAUAGUCCCAGAAGGUUUCUACAGUACACAUUAGAAAUGAUAGUCCCAGAAGGUUUAUACAGUACACAUUAGAAAUGAUAGUCCCAGAAGGUUUUUACAGUACACAUUAGAAAUUAUGCCGUGGUCUUGUGACAGUUCCAGGGUUCCGAGAUUCCACUGUGAAUGACCGACAGGUAAGGUAAGAAUAUCCCUUUGAACUUGAGUCAUAAACAAUUAAUUACACUGUAACAACACUUCUCUUUUUUGUAAGUAUUUGGUCACAUGUCACACUUGAGCAAGAUUAAAGUAAAACUAAUCUCUCUUAUUUUAAUCCAUUUUCCACAUCGCAACUCUGAUCAAUGGAAGCGUUUAUUUUCCUAGUUAAAUCAAGACACUGUUGAGUAGCUGGCAAGCACACACGAGAUUUGUUUAUGAGGAUUAGUGACUAUAAAGCCUUUUGUUUAGCCUGGCUCUGGCACAAAUCAGUCCGGUGCUGAUAUCGAGUGUGACUAAAGUACUAACUAUCCACAGUCCCCUCCCCGAUUUCAUCGCCGGGGGACAACUAAAAUCAGAUCUCCCCAACUCAGUGGAGAUCAAAGCCGUCCCUGAGCCAGGGUCUGGUAGCCCAUAGGUUAAAGGUCACUGAAAAGACGUUGCCACAAGCAGCGCCGAAGAUUAUGGGCGUGAUCGAACGGAUCACUUUUGUCAAAUCGGUGACUUUCAAAGUGUGUUGCAUUAUGGGAAUAAAAAUGGUCCGACUUGUGCCUAAUGUGUAGACUGCGUAAGCUUGACAUAAAUCACGUGAUCAUGGAGUCGUGAGGUUUUGACUGCUGCCGACUAGAAGUUCCUGGAAGUUGCUCUUCA
Molecule: long non-coding RNA, 1103 nt
Organism: Oncorhynchus kisutch (coho salmon)
Lineage: Eukaryota; Metazoa; Chordata; Actinopteri; Salmoniformes; Salmonidae
Exons: 2
Source: RefSeq, a predicted model, not a curated record